RNAcentral lists this ribosomal RNA (506 nucleotides) under uncultured bacterium. RNAcentral's name for it is "partial 16S ribosomal RNA". It matches the Rfam family "Bacterial small subunit ribosomal RNA", at positions 29 to 523 of the family's 1533-position model. The record is from RNAcentral.
AUUGAACGCUGGCGGCAGGCCUAACACAUGCAAGUCGAACGGCAGCACAGAAGAGCUUGCUCUUUGGGUGGCGAGUGGCGGACGGGUGAGUAAUGUCUGGGAAACUGCCCGAUGGAGGGGGAUAACUACUGGAAACGGUAGCUAAUACCGCAUAACGUCGCAAGACCAAAGUGGGGGACCUUCGGGCCUCACACCAUCGGAUGUGCCCAGAUGGGAUUAGCUAGUAGGUGGGGUAAUGGCUCACCUAGGCGACGAUCCCUAGCUGGUCUGAGAGGAUGACCAGCCACACUGGAACUGAGACACGGUCCAGACUCCUACGGGAGGCAGCAGUGGGGAAUAUCGCACAAUGGGCGCAAGCCUGAUGCAGCCAUGCCGCGUGUAUGAAGAAGGCCUUCGGGUUGUAAAGUACUUUCAGCGGGGAGGAAGGCGGUGAGGUUAAUAACCCUGCCGAUUGACGUUACCCGCAGAAGAAGCACCGGCUAACUCCGUGCCAGCAGCCGCAGUAA